CAGGGAUUGCCCUAGUAACGGCGAGUGAAGCGGCAACAGCUCAAAUUUGAAAUCUGGCUCUUUCAGAGUCCGAGUUGUAAUUUGCAGAGGGCGCUUUGGCGUUGGCAGCGGUCCAAGUUCCUUGGAACAGGACGUCACAGAGGGUGAGAAUCCCGUACGUGGUCGCUGGCCUUCGCCGUGUAAAGCCCCUUCGACGAGUCGAGUUGUUUGGGAAUGCAGCUCUAAAUGGGAGGUAAAUUUCUUCUAAAGCUAAAUACUGGCCAGAGACCGAUAGCGCACAAGUAGAGUGAUCGAAAGAUGAAAAGCACUUUGGAAAGAGAGUCAAAUAGCACGUGAAAUUGUUGAAAGGGAAGCGCUUGCAGCCAGACUUGCCUGUAGUUGCUCAUCCGGGCUCUCGCCCGGUGCACUCUUCUACAGGCAGGCCAGCAUCAGUUUGGGCGGUUGGAUAAAGGUCUCUGUCACGUACCUCCUCUCGGGGAGGCCUUAUAGGGGAGACGACAUGCAACCAGCCUGGACUGAGGUCCGCGCAAUUGCUAGGAUGCUGGCGUAAUGGCUGUAAGCGGCCCGUCUUGAAACACGGACCAAGGAGUCUAACAUCUAUGCGAGUGUUUGGGUGUCAAGCCCGAGCGCGCAAUGAAAGUGAACGGAGGUGGGAACCCUUUUGGGGUGCACCAUCGACCGAUCCUGAUGUCUUCGGAUGGAUUUGAGUAAGAGCAUGGCUGUUGGGACCCGAAAGAUGGUGAACUAUGCUUGAAUAGGGUGAAGCCAGAGGAAACUCUGGUGGAGGCUCGCAGCGGUUCUGACGUGCAGAUCGAUCGUCAAAUUUGGGCAUAGGGGCGAAAGACUAAUCAAGAAAUCUAGUAGCUGGUUCCUGCCGAAGUUUCCC
RNAcentral lists this ribosomal RNA (886 nucleotides) under Heterosporicola beijingensis. RNAcentral describes it as "Heterosporicola sp. RSB-2019a partial large subunit ribosomal RNA". It matches the Rfam family "Eukaryotic large subunit ribosomal RNA", at positions 69 to 972 of the family's 3401-position model. Lineage: Eukaryota; Fungi; Ascomycota; Dothideomycetes; Pleosporales; Leptosphaeriaceae. The record is from RNAcentral.